ACAUCUCAACUCCUCACGGUUCGCCCGUGAUGAGCUUGGACUUUGGGGGUCUUGCCGGCCUGCAGGUCGGCUCCUCUCAAAUGAAUCAGCUUGCCAGUGUUUGGUGGCGUCACAGGUGUGAUAAAUAUCUACGCUUGUGGUUUUCCGCCAGGCAACCUCCAGCGAUGGGGGCUCACUGGAGCUCACAAAUGUCUCUCCUCGGUGAGGACAGCUCUUUGAAC
This 221-nucleotide unclassified non-coding RNA is filed under the name uncultured Tomentella. RNAcentral's name for it is "sequence contains ITS2". Lineage: Eukaryota; Fungi; Basidiomycota; Agaricomycetes; Thelephorales; Thelephoraceae. The record is from RNAcentral.